GACGAACGCUGGCGGCGUGCUUAACACAUGCAAGUCGAACGGAAAGGCCCUGCUUUUGUGGGGUGCUCGAGUGGCGAACGGGUGAGUAACACGUGAGUAACCUGCCCUUGACUUUGGGAUAACUUCAGGAAACUGGGGCUAAUACCGGAUAGGAGCUCCUGCUGCAUGGUGGGGGUUGGAAAGUUUCGGCGGUUGGGGAUGGACUCGCGGCUUAUCAGCUUGUUGGUGGGGUAGUGGCUUACCAAGGCUUUGACGGGUAGCCGGCCUGAGAGGGUGACCGGCCACAUUGGGACUGAGAUACGGCCCAGACUCCUACGGGAGGCAGCAGUGGGGAAUAUGGCGCAAUGGGCGGAAGCCUGAUGCAGCAACGCCGCGUGCGGGAUGACGGCCUUCGGGUUGUAAACCGCUUUCGCCUGUGACGAAGCGUGAGUGACGGUAAUGGGUAAAGAAGCACCGGCUAACUACGUG
This 468-nucleotide ribosomal RNA is filed under the name uncultured bacterium. Its description in RNAcentral is "partial 16S ribosomal RNA". It matches the Rfam family "Bacterial small subunit ribosomal RNA", at positions 28 to 507 of the family's 1533-position model. The record is from RNAcentral.